RNAcentral lists this unclassified non-coding RNA (329 nucleotides) under soil metagenome. Its description in RNAcentral is "partial contains 5.8S ribosomal RNA, internal transcribed spacer 2, and large subunit ribosomal RNA". The stretch from base 1 to 120 matches the Rfam family "5.8S ribosomal RNA", at positions 35 to 154 of the family's 154-position model. The record is from RNAcentral.
GAUGAAGAACGUAGCGAAAUGCGAUAAGUAAUGUGAAUUGCAGAAUUCAGUGAAUCAUCGAAUCUUUGAACGCACAUUGCGCCCCUUGGUAUUCCGAGGGGCAUGCCUGUUCGAGCGUCAUUAUAACCCCUCAAGCUCAGCUUGGUGUUGGGGCCUGCUGCACUGGCAGCCCUUAAAAUCAGUGGCGGCGCCAUCUGGCUCUAAGCGUAGUAAUUCUUCUCGCUAUGGAGUCCUGGUGGAUGCUUGCCAUCAACCCCCAAUUUUUCUAUGGUUGACCUCGGAUCAGGUUGGGAUACCCGCUGAACUUAAGCAUAUCAAUAAGCGGAGGA